Long non-coding RNA from Cuculus canorus (common cuckoo), 321 nucleotides. RefSeq lists it as uncharacterized. The transcript is spliced from 3 exons. NCBI's taxonomy places the organism in Eukaryota, Metazoa, Chordata, Aves, Cuculiformes, Cuculidae. The record is from RefSeq and is a predicted model, not a curated record.
AAGCAGACAAGAGGAAGGGGGAGGAAGGAAGCACAGAUGCUGAGAGACCCCUGCUACGGGACAGCAAGGAGAUAGUUAUGUUGGAUGGCUAUAAAACUGCAAGCCAUGGCUGCUGUCAUCAGUCGUUGUUGUAGUAGCACGAGCUGCUAGCUGAGUGGGAGUCAGGUGUUGGAAGCUGGGGUGCAUAAAGCAGCUACCAAAUGUUCAGACUGCCUUUUAAGCUUCUCUGGACUGAGGACAUGCAAGAGGUUUUUUACUUUGUCUGCUUUGGAUUUCCUGUGCAUCCUGUGCAAGGCUGUUCAGAGCCCUGCCCUUCCAUUG